GGUAAAUCAGGUGUUUAGUAUGUGGUCAGGUAAAUCAGGUGUUUAGUAUGUGGUCAGGUAAAUCAGGUGUUUAGUAUGGGGUCAGGUAAAUCAGGUGUUUAGUAUGUGGUCAGGUAAAUCAGGUAUUUAGUAUGUGGUCAGGUAAAUCAGGUGUUUAGUAUGUGGUCAGGUAAAUCAGGUGUUUAGUAUGUGGUCAGGUAAAUCAGGUGUUUAGUAUGUGGUCAGGUAAAUCAGGUGUUUAGUAUGUGGUCAGGUAAAUCAGGUGUUUAGUAUGUGGUCAGGUAAAUCAGGUGUUUAGUAUGUGGUCAGGUAAAUCAGGUGUUUAGUAUGGGGUCAGGUAAAUCAGGUGUUUAGUAUGUGGUCAGGUAAAUCAGGUGUUUAGUAUGUGGUCAGGUAAAUCAGGUGUUUAGUAUGUGGUCAGGUAAAUCAGGUGUUUAGUAUGGGGUCAGGUAAAUCAGGUGUUUAGUAUGUGGUCAGGUAAAUCAGGUGUUUAGUAUGUGGUCAGGUAAAUCAGGUGUUUAGUAUGUGGUCAGGUAAAUCAGGUGUUUAGUAUGUGGUCAGGUAAAUCAGGUGUUUAGUAUGUGGUCAGGUAAAUCAGGUGUUUAGUAUGUGGUCAGGUAAAUCAGGUGUUUAGUAUGUGGUCAGGUAAAUCAGGUGUUUAGUAUGUGGUCAGGUAAAUCAGGUGUUUAGUAUGUGGUCAGGUAAAUCAGGUGUUUAGUAUGGGGUCAGGUAAAUCAGGUGUUUAGUAUGUGGUCAGGUAAAUCAGGUGUUUAGUAUGUGGUCAGGUAAAUCAGGUGUUUAGUAUGUGGUCAGGUAAAUCAGGUGUUUAGUAUGGGGUCAGGUAAAUCAGGUGUUUAGUAUGUGGUCAGGUAAAUCAGGUGUUUAGUAUGUGGUCAGGUAAAUCAGGUGUUUAGUAUGUGGUCAGGUAAAUCAGGUGUUUAGUAUGGGGUCAGGUAAAUCAGGUGUUUAGUAUGUGGUCAGGUAAAUCAGGUGUUUAGUAUGUGGUCAGGUAAAUCAGGUGUUUAGUAUGGGGUCAGGUAAAUCAGGUGUUUAGUAUGUGGUCAGGUAAAUCAGGUGUUUAGUAUGUGGUCAGGUAAAUCAGGUGUUUAGUAUGGGGUCAGGUAAAUCAGGUGUUUAGUAUGUGGUCAGGUAAAUCAGGUGUUUAGUAUGUGGUCAGGUAAAUCAGGUGUUUAGUAUGUGGUCAGGUAAAUCAGGUGUUUAGUAUGGGGUCAGGUAAAUCAGGUGUUUAGUAUGUGGUCAGGUAAAUCAGGUGUUUAGUAUGUGGUCAGGUAAAUCAGGUGUUUAGUAUGUGGUCAGGUAAAUCAGGUGUUUAGUAUGUGGUCAGGUAAAUCAGGUGUUUAGUAUGUGGUCAGGUAAAUCAGGUGUUUAGUAUGUGGUCAGGUAAAUCAGGUGUUUAGUAUGUAG
Oncorhynchus keta (chum salmon) is the source of this 1425-nucleotide long non-coding RNA. RefSeq lists it as uncharacterized. The record is from RefSeq and is a predicted model, not a curated record. The transcript is spliced from 7 exons. NCBI's taxonomy places the organism in Eukaryota, Metazoa, Chordata, Actinopteri, Salmoniformes, Salmonidae.